GCACAUAUGAGAUGAGAGAAAAUGAAACCUUAUCAAAAAUUCUAGUGUAUUAAAUGUGACUUUUAUCACAGUGAACCCCGGCACACCAAAUCUGACCGGAAAGCAUGAUAGUAACGGCAACUCGGACUGCGAACGGCUUCUCCAAAACUUUGGAAACUCACCUCGAUUUUAUUCCAUUUCAGACGAGAAUAAAGCGGAGACAGAAUUAUACAUUCUUUGUUUUUCUAUUAUUUUCGAUUUUUGGUGUGAACAAAACCAACGAACUCUUUUCCACUGAUUUAUCCUACUAAGAGUGUGUGCGUGUUUUCAUGGGAGAUAAUGGGACUAGGAUUGUGAAGAAGAAGUAGCAACUAGUUUUGGCAGCAGUGAUAGUCGACGAGGUUAAGGUUCUUUUGGUUAGAGGAGAAGAGACGAGCGGGAAGGCGGCGGCGGCACUGGCUAAAAAUGGUGCAGUCGACACUGACGAUUGAAGAAGAAGAAGCUGGUGGGGCUGAAGGUGACGGUCGCUGCUGCUAGAUUUUGUAGUGGGAGAUCGUUAGGCUGAAGCCUAAUCUAUAAAAGAGAGGGAGUGGUUGUAUGGCGUGUGGCUGAAGUGAGUGGUUGUAUGGCGUCUAGUCAGGCGGGGGUGGCGGCGGCGUCUCAAAAGGUGAUUAGGGUUCAGCAUUUGUUGUUUUCUUGUGGAACAUGAAGGGCAGCCAUGGGUGUUUUUCUUCAAGUUCUCUUCUAGGUUUUUCUUGGUUAUCUCUUGGUCUUCAAAAAGAAGUCUUUAUUGGGGUUGU
Molecule: long non-coding RNA, 779 nt
Filed under: Nicotiana benthamiana
Lineage: Eukaryota; Viridiplantae; Streptophyta; Magnoliopsida; Solanales; Solanaceae
Description: long non-coding RNA (NBEN_LNC021176)
Source: RNAcentral